GUAGGGAAUAUUGGGCAAUGGUCGGAAGACUGACCCUGCCAUGCCGCGUGCAGGAAGACGGCCCUCUGGGUUGUAAACUGCUUUUAUCUGGGAAGAAAAAGGCCAUGCGUGGCAAAUUGCCGGUACCAGAUGAAUAAGCACCGGCUAACUCCGUGCCAGCAGCCGCGGUAAUACGGAGGGUGCGAGCGUUGUCCGGAUUUAUUGGGUUUAAAGGGUGCGUAGGCGGCUGAUUAAGUCAGCGGUGAAAGACUUCGGCUUAACCGGAGCAGUGCCGUUGAUACUGGUUGGCUUGAGUGUCGGAGGGGUACAUGGAAUUGAUGGUGUAGCGGUGAAAUGCAUAGAUACCAUCAGGAACACCGAUAGCGAAGGCAUUGUACUGGCCGACAACUGACGCUGAUGCACGAAAGUGUGGGGAUCGAACAGGAUUAGAUACCCCAGUAGUCC
This 444-nucleotide ribosomal RNA is filed under the name uncultured bacterium. RNAcentral's name for it is "partial 16S ribosomal RNA". It matches the Rfam family "Bacterial small subunit ribosomal RNA", at positions 354 to 796 of the family's 1533-position model. The record is from RNAcentral.